Molecule: small RNA, 121 nt
Filed under: Salmonella enterica
Lineage: Bacteria; Pseudomonadati; Pseudomonadota; Gammaproteobacteria; Enterobacterales; Enterobacteriaceae
Also listed under: 2 other names
Description: partial RtT sRNA
Rfam family: RtT RNA
About the family: This family represents a bacterial cis-regulatory element known as RtT RNA.
Source: RNAcentral
UGACGAGGAUGAGAACCUCCGGGGGCAAGAGGUUCGACUCGAGCGCAGCGAGAGAACGUUGCGUCAGCAACGGCCCGCAGGGCGAGCCACGCAGUGGCGAGUCAUCCUCUAUCACCGACCA